AGGAAGAAGAGGAAGACCCAGCAAAGGAGUAUCCUGGGAUGCCUGGGAUGUAGGAAGAAAGCCAGGAGCUUGCGGUCCCUGGAAACCAAAUAAAGAAUGUGCUUCAAGUGUCUGUUUCCUUCUGGACUUCCUUAGGGGAAAGGAGGGCUGGAACUGACGAGCCUGCUUCCCUCACCCGCAGGGAGAUCUCCCCCGGGCCACUUUGUGUCGUUCGUGCAUUCGUCGGUCACUCCUCAGGCAUGGAUGGAGCCCACUGCUUGCCCAGCGCUGAGUUGGAUUGCAUGCGAGUCAGAGGCACUACGUGCAGCACCUCACCUGCGUUAUGUCAUUGAAUUGUCACAAAAAUCCCUUGGAGGUAAAUAUUAUUAUCUUCAUUUGCGUUUAAGGAAACUAACAGUGGGGAAACUUGAAGUCAAACCCUGGCUGCUGAGGUCGCACAGGUGGUAUUUCAGAGGCGUCUGCUGCCCAUCCUACUUUCUCCAGUGCCUCUCACGAUGUGGUCUUUGAACCACCGAGAUCAGAAAAUCGUGGGACUUUCUAACCUUCAGAUCCCUGGACUCUCUCUUAGACUCAGGGGAUGGAAAUCCCUGGGAAGUGGUCCUGGAAUCUGCACUGUAAACCACAUUUUGGACCUUGGGGAGGGAGUGUGUGGUUAACCCUAGGAACAGAACCGGCCCCUCCGUGUGGAGGCUGACCUGUGUUUUAGUCCUCGACUGAGUUCACGCUCUUUAUUUAAUCUCUCUUGGCUUCCAUUUCCUCGUUUGUAAACCAGGGUCUCCUGGUGGUUGUGAGGCUCGAAGAUGAUGUGCAGAAAGUAGAAUAAGAUGUUAGA
Molecule: long non-coding RNA, 832 nt
Organism: Herpailurus yagouaroundi (jaguarundi)
Lineage: Eukaryota; Metazoa; Chordata; Mammalia; Carnivora; Felidae
Exons: 3
Source: RefSeq, a predicted model, not a curated record